UGGGUCGUUAGCUCAGUUGGUAGAGCAGUUGACUUUUAAUCAAUUGGUCGCAGGUUCGAAUCCUGC
Molecule: transfer RNA, 66 nt
Filed under: Escherichia coli 3-475-03_S1_C2
Lineage: Bacteria; Pseudomonadati; Pseudomonadota; Gammaproteobacteria; Enterobacterales; Enterobacteriaceae
Description: partial tRNA-Lys
Rfam family: tRNA
About the family: Transfer RNA (tRNA) molecules are approximately 80 nucleotides in length. Their secondary structure includes four short double-helical elements and three loops (D, anti-codon, and T loops). Further hydrogen bonds mediate the characteristic L-shaped molecular structure. tRNAs have two regions of fundamental functional importance: the anti-codon, which is responsible for specific mRNA codon recognition, and the 3' end, to which the tRNAs corresponding amino acid is attached (by aminoacyl-tRNA synthetases). tRNAs cope with the degeneracy of the genetic code in two manners: having more than one tRNA (with a specific anti-codon) for a particular amino acid; and 'wobble' base-pairing, i.e. permitting non-standard base-pairing at the 3rd anti-codon position.
Source: RNAcentral